RNAcentral lists this ribosomal RNA (253 nucleotides) under uncultured bacterium. RNAcentral's name for it is "partial 16S ribosomal RNA". It matches the Rfam family "Bacterial small subunit ribosomal RNA", at positions 524 to 776 of the family's 1533-position model. The record is from RNAcentral.
UACGUAGGGGGCUAGCGUUGUCCGGAAUCAUUGGGCGUAAAGCGCGCGUAGGCGGCCCGGUAAGUCCGCUGUAAAAGUCAAAGGCUCAACCUUUGAAUGUCAGUGGAUACUGCCGGGCUAGAGUCCGGAAGAGGCGAGUGGAAUUCCUGGUGUAGCAGUGAAAUGCGUAGAGAUGCGGAGGAACACCGAUGGCGAAGGCAGCCCCCUGGGCCAACACUGACGCUCAGGCACGAAAGCGUGGGGAGCAAACAGG